RNAcentral lists this ribosomal RNA (484 nucleotides) under uncultured bacterium. RNAcentral describes it as "partial 16S ribosomal RNA". It matches the Rfam family "Bacterial small subunit ribosomal RNA", at positions 29 to 507 of the family's 1533-position model. The record is from RNAcentral.
AUUGAACGCUGGCGGCAUGCUUUACACAUGCAAGUCGAACGGCAGCGCGGGCUUCGGCCUGGCGGCGAGUGGCGAACGGGUGAGUAAUACAUCGGAACGUGCCCAGUAGUGGGGGAUAGCUCGGCGAAAGGCGGAUUAAUACCGCAUACGACCUGAGGGUGAAAGCGGGGGAUCUUCGGACCUCGCGCUAUUGGAGCGGCCGAUGGCAGAUUAGCUAGUUGGUGGGGUAAAGGCCUACCAAGGCGACGAUCUGUAGCUGGUCUGAGAGGACGACCAGCCACACUGGGACUGAGACACGGCCCAGACUCCUACGGGAGGCAGCAGUGGGGAAUUUUGGACAAUGGGCGAAAGCCUGAUCCAGCAAUGCCGCGUGUGUGAUGAAGGCCUUCGGGUUGUAAAGCACUUUUGGCGGGAACGAAAAGGACUGUGCCAAUACCACGGUUCGAUGACGGUACCCGCAGAAUAAGCACCGGCUAACUACGUG